CAAGUGUCACCACCUACUGGUGUGCUUCUCUGUAUCGGAGGUGUUUACUGUGUUCAGGUGUUUUACCUGUUGUAGAGCAGAAUAUCUGGAGUCCAGACCUGAUCUGUGGUGAAGCGGAGGUUUUUCACGCCAGGGUGGUCGCUCUGGUUCCACUGCAGGUAGUGGUCGUACCAACUCUUUAAACCAACACAGACAGCCUGACUAUCUCGCUCUCGCUCGUCGCCUGUGGGGAAAGUUCACCCCAUCUGCCUCUCAGCUCUGUCAUCCGCCGUCAGCCCAAAACCUAUUCAGCUUCCCGGCUGCAGCAACAGGGAGGCGAGAUGCAAGAUGCUGAUCUGUAUGUGUCGUUAAACUGAUGGGCUUCUUCUGCAGGGGGGUUACCUUGAUCUGAGCGCAGAUUUGGACAGAAGGAAAAUGUUGGAGUAAUGAAAUAUUCUGACAACUCGGAUCGUUUUGCCUGCUGCAUCUGUCAUCGCGAUGUCAAUCUGCCUGGUUAAAAAAAAAAAGCCAUCCAGAGGCAGAACAUAUGUCUCCAGACAAACCAAACAAGAACACAUUAAUCUAAAAGAAACCCAUGGAUGUAAAUACACAAGCAAACAGCCAGAAUCCUGAAUGAACGAGGAGAAGAGAUGAAGUCAAGCUCACCGUUGAUCAAAGCGGAGAGUCCAGAGAGGAGAAGAGCCACAGAGUGCCACAUCCUGGUC
Molecule: long non-coding RNA, 704 nt
Organism: Gambusia affinis (western mosquitofish)
Lineage: Eukaryota; Metazoa; Chordata; Actinopteri; Cyprinodontiformes; Poeciliidae
Exons: 3
Source: RefSeq, a predicted model, not a curated record